Long non-coding RNA from Apodemus sylvaticus (European woodmouse), 1698 nucleotides. RefSeq lists it as uncharacterized. Lineage: Eukaryota; Metazoa; Chordata; Mammalia; Rodentia; Muridae. The transcript is spliced from 3 exons. The record is from RefSeq and is a predicted model, not a curated record.
AGCAGUGGGUUGGAUCCGGGCUCGGGCGGAGGCAGCGGCGGGAGCUGCGGAGUCCUCCGUGCUGGCAGGAAGCCACCCGGCAUCAGCGAACCUCGGGGACCUCAGUGUGCAUCUCGGGUCCUGAUGCUGUUUAAACAGCGGCCUAAGGACCAGGAAGGGUAGUAGGCGGUCGACUGGGUUCCACUUCUGGAGGCUGCGCAGUAGCUACAGAGCUGCUCAGAAACCGAGUGCAAAGCUUCACAGCGAGCUCUUUUCCGCUGUGGCUGAGACAGGAAGCAGGGAGACUAAAGGGAGCUUUAGUCUUACUACACAAAUAUAAAAUAACUGUAAAGCCUAGCUCCAAAAGGAUCGUGCUCCAGCCCGGUGUCUCAUUAUGGCUCUGCAUUAAGCAUAAAUGUUGCUGAACAGAAGCCAAAUCCUCACAAGGAGCCACAGAGCGGCCAUCAUGGACAGACAGCUGGUGCUGCAGACCUGCUGUGGGUACCGAUCCAGCCGCCCAGGAGCAUCGUCCACAAUGAUCUUAUUGAUCUUAAUUGCAAGGUGGAGAGUCCAAGGCCCAAGUUCGGUGAAGUUUCAUGCAGAUGCGAGCAGAUGACAGGACGGAGGAAAUGUGAACUGAGGGGGCCUGGGGCCCCUCCCUCUGAGCUGAAACCAAAAUGAAGAAUUGCUGAAAGCUAGUCAGAUGGUAACAAAUUCAACGGACUGGUCACAGCCAGUGUUGACGGGAAUAUGGAAAAAUGGAUACUUCUGUUUUUUUUUUAAUUAUUCAAUUAUUUUAUAACGCAUGGGUAUUUUGGCUGCAUGAAUGUCUGUAUAAAAUAUGUGCGUGGCCUGCAGAGGCCAGAGAGGGCAUCAGAUUCUCUGGAGCUGGAGUUACAGUGAAUGUGAGCCUGGCGUUAGCUGUGGGUACUGGGAAUCAAACCCGGAUUCUUAGCAAGAACAGUCAGCGCCCUUAGCCACUGAGCCAUCUUUCCAGCUCCUAUAGCCAACUUUUAAAUGCACAGUCAUUGACCCAACAGUGUCAUAGCUGGUGCUGUCCGAUAAAUACAGAAUACUUGUGGACCAGUAGAAUUGUCCAAUCUAAACUAUGCUGCACUGUAAAAUCUGCUGCUAUUUCAUAAAUUGUUAAUAGCAAAGUGGCGCCUUUUUAACACAGUGCUGUGACCCUGUGCCUUCAUGUUGCUUAUAAUUUUUAUCUUUACUUAUCAAAGUAAUUCUUUUAGGUAAAUGAACAGUUUUCAAUAGUGCAUCUCUUUUGAUGUUUACUACUUUCCCUUCUUUCUGUCAACAUAGUUUUUUCUGCAGGCAAAACAGCAGAAGCCACACUGGGAAAAUGGCUCAGGCCUGUGAGCACAGGGUAUUGGCGAAUGACUUCAUGUGCUCAUUCUUGACUAAACAAAAUAUCUUGUAUUGUUGUUGUUGUUGUUUUGAUACUUAUAAAAUCCUAUCAGUGGGAGGGUUUGACCGAAGCUGAUACAUCCACCUGGUGUGACCACAUAAACAGUCUUCAAAAGGGACGGUUCUGAGGGGGAGAGACCAGUGAGUAUGGAUUGUGACCGUCCCAGACAAUCUGAACCCUAGACACUGGCCACCCUAGACACUGGCCACCUUAAUCAGUCACUGGCCACCCUAGUCACUGAUCACCCUAAUCACUGGCCACCCUAAUCAGUCACUGGCCACCCUAGACACUGGCCACCC